UUUCCACCAACAUAAUAAAAGGAUUCUUGUUAUUUGAUGGAGCAAAAUGGAACAUGGUUACAAGCCAAGCAUGUGCACACAUCUAGAUGAAACAUGAAGCAGUACAGCCAAAUUAAGACUUGGCAACACUGCACAUCUGCCUUUAUCCAUUGAUUAUUGACCAUCUUUAUGGUUUCAUUUAGACAAACACAGAUUUAAGUGGAGGAGGUUUUUCUUCACGAGUCAGUCACAGGAAGUUGAACCAAGGUCGUUGUUGAGUUUCUGGGUGGCUCAAGUCUUCUGCACCUCCGACAGGAUUUCUUCCAGGAUUGUCCUGUAUUUAGCUUCAUCCACCUUCUCAUCAACCCUGACCUCUGAACCCUUUGUACAACAUAAGGGUUGUACAAAUACAUUACAUCUGGCCUGGAGUUUCUAUGCAGCUGCGAUACUUUCUUGUGUGCGUGUGUGUGGGCGUGGGCGUGUGUGUGUGUGUGUGGAGGACAUGGACUGAGCAAGUGCUGCCAACAACUUUAUCCCUCUAAAGAUGAUCCACUGUCGUUCAGUGUUUAACUCUGUUGGUGUUCUCGACAAAACUAUUGGCAGAGUCUUUGCUGUGACUCACUGUAUGUGCUCUCUUUCAAUUUCUCUUUCUCUCUGAAAAUUCAUCUAUGUAAAAAAAAGGGAGCAAUGAUAACAGGAGGGGGAGAAAGGAGCUGUUG
This is a long non-coding RNA of Gambusia affinis (western mosquitofish), 698 nucleotides long. RefSeq lists it as uncharacterized. The record is from RefSeq and is a predicted model, not a curated record. NCBI's taxonomy places the organism in Eukaryota, Metazoa, Chordata, Actinopteri, Cyprinodontiformes, Poeciliidae. The transcript is spliced from 3 exons.